UACAGAGGUGCCAAGCGUUAGGCGGAAUCACUGGGCUUAAAGCGCGUGUAGGUGGACGGGUAAGUAUCUUGUGAAAUCCCACGGCUCAACCGUGGAACUGCUGGAUAUACUGCUUGUCUUGAGGCACUUAGGGGCAGCUGGAACAAAUGGUGGAGCGGUGAAAUGCGUAGAUAUCAUUUGGAACGCCAAAGGCGAAAGCAGGCUGCUGGGAGUGAUCUGACACUGAGACGCGAAAAGCCAGGGGGAGCAAA
This 251-nucleotide ribosomal RNA is filed under the name uncultured bacterium. RNAcentral describes it as "partial 16S ribosomal RNA". It matches the Rfam family "Bacterial small subunit ribosomal RNA", at positions 524 to 772 of the family's 1533-position model. The record is from RNAcentral.